RNAcentral lists this ribosomal RNA (394 nucleotides) under uncultured bacterium. Its description in RNAcentral is "partial 16S ribosomal RNA". It matches the Rfam family "Bacterial small subunit ribosomal RNA", at positions 523 to 918 of the family's 1533-position model. The record is from RNAcentral.
AUACGUAGGGGACGAGCGUUGUCCGGAAUUACUGGGCGUAAAGGGCGCGCAGGCGGAUAUUUAAGUCAGCUGUAAAAGGCAUGAGCUCAACUCAUGUAUGCGGUUGAAACUGGGUAUCUAGAGUGCUGGAGAGGUAGGCGGAAUUCCCGGUGUAGCGGCGAAAUGCGUAGAUAUCGGGAAGAACACCAGUGGCGAAGGCGGCUUACUGGCCAGCAACUGACGCUGAGGCGCGAAAGCCAGGGGAGCGAACGGGAUUAGAUACCCCGGUAGUCCUGGCCGUAAACGAUGAAUGCUAGGUGUGGGUGUCGAGAGGCAUCCGUGCCGGAGUUAACGCGAUAAGCAUUCCGCCUGGGGAGUACGAUCGCAAGAUUGAAACUCAAAUGAAUUGACGGGG